This 498-nucleotide ribosomal RNA is filed under the name uncultured bacterium. RNAcentral describes it as "partial 16S ribosomal RNA". It matches the Rfam family "Bacterial small subunit ribosomal RNA", at positions 30 to 523 of the family's 1533-position model. The record is from RNAcentral.
AUUGAACGCUGGCGGCAUGCCUUACACAUGCAAGUCGAACGGUAACAGGUCUUCGGAUGCUGACGAGUGGCGAACGGGUGAGUAAUACAUCGGAACGUGCCUAGUAGUGGGGGAUAACUACUCGAAAGAGUGGCUAAUACCGCAUGAGAUCUACGGAUGAAAGCAGGGAAUCGCAAGACCUUGUGCUACUAGAGCGGCCGAUGGCAGAUUAGGUAGUUGGUGGGAUAAAAGCUUACCAAGCCGACGGUCUGUAGUUGGUCUGAGCGGACGAUCAGCCACACUGGGACUGAGACACGGCCCAGACUCCUACGGGAGGCAGCAGUGGGGAAUUUUGGACAAUGGGCGAAAGCCUGAUCCAGCAAUGCCGCGUGCAGGAUGAAGGCCUUCGGGUUGUAAACUGCUUUUGUACGGAACGAAAAGCCCCGGGUUAAUACCCUGGGGUCAUGACGGUACCGUAAGAAUAAGCACCGGCUAACUACGUGCCAGCCGCCGCAGUAA